Molecule: ribosomal RNA, 252 nt
Filed under: uncultured bacterium
Lineage: Bacteria
Description: partial 16S ribosomal RNA
Rfam family: Bacterial small subunit ribosomal RNA
Source: RNAcentral
UACGUAGGUCCCGAGCGUUGUCCGGAUUUAUUGGGCGUAAAGCGAGCGCAGGUGGUUUAUUAAGUCUGGUGUAAAAGGCAGUGGCUCAACCAUUGUAUGCAUUGGAAACUGGUAGACUUGAGUGCAGGCGUGGAGAGUGGAAUUCCAUGUGUAGCGGUGAAAUGCGUAGAUAUAUGGAGGAACACCGGUGGCGAAAGCGGCUCUCUGGCCUGUAACUGACACUGAGGCUCGAAAGCGUGGGGAGCAAACAGG